Molecule: ribosomal RNA, 468 nt
Filed under: uncultured bacterium
Lineage: Bacteria
Description: partial 16S ribosomal RNA
Rfam family: Bacterial small subunit ribosomal RNA
Source: RNAcentral
GACGAACGCUGGCGGCGUGCUUAACACAUGCAAGUCGAACGGAAAGGCCCUGCUUUUGUGGGGUGCUCGAGUGGCGAACGGGUGAGUAACACGUGAGUAACCUGCCCUUGACUUUGGGAUAACUUCAGGAAACUGGGGCUAAUACCGGAUAGGAGCUCCUGCUGCAUGGUGGGGGUUGGAAAGUUUCGGCGGUUGGGGAUGGACUCGCGGCUUAUCAGCUUGUUGGUGGGGUAGUGGCUUACCAAGGCUUUGACGGGUAGCCGGCCUGAGAGGGUGACCGGCCACAUUGGGACUGAGAUACGGCCCAGAGGCCUAUGGGAGGCAGCAGUGGGGAAUAUUGCACAAUGGGCGGAAGCCUGAUGCAGAAACGCUGCGUGCGGGAUGACGGCCUUCGGGUUGUAAACCGCUUUCGCCUGUGACGAAGCGUGAGUGACGGUAAUGGGUAAAGAAGCACCGGCUAACUACGUG